AAGGAUCAUUAGUUCGCACAUAAGGCCCGAUAUGGUUUUGCCAUAUCGUCGUUUGGGGUGCCACCUUGCCGGCGUACAAAGUACGCCCGCUUGUCUACGCUUGACGUAGUGAGCUGUGGGCCUGCCUGCAUUCUUGUCUUUACGUCCUUGUUGCUUUGGCGGGUGUUCUUCAUCGGACCGCCGGGGGCCCAGCUCCCAGCGUCUGCCCGCCGACAGCCCUCUAUAAACCCUGUCAACCUGUCUGUCUUAGUCCAAAAAAUAACUAUAAAACUUUCAACAACGGAUCUCUUGGUUCUG
This 297-nucleotide unclassified non-coding RNA is filed under the name uncultured fungus. Its description in RNAcentral is "partial contains 18S rRNA, ITS1, 5.8S rRNA, ITS2 and 28S rRNA". The record is from RNAcentral. Lineage: Eukaryota; Fungi.